Molecule: ribosomal RNA, 253 nt
Filed under: uncultured bacterium
Lineage: Bacteria
Description: partial 16S ribosomal RNA
Rfam family: Bacterial small subunit ribosomal RNA
Source: RNAcentral
UACGGAGGGUGCGAGCGUUGUCCGGAAUCAUUGGGCGUAAAGCGCGUGUAGGCGGCUCGAUAAGUCCGCUCUGAAAGUCCAGGGCUCAACCCUGGGAUGCGGGUGGAUACUGUCGGGCUCGAGUCCGGAAGAGGCGAGUGGAAUUCCUGGUGUAGCGGUGAAAUGCGCAGAUAUCAGGAGGAACACCAAUGGCGAAGGCAGCUCGCUGGGACGUGACUGACGCUGAGACGCGAAAGCGUGGGGAGCAAACAGG